UGGGGGAUAUUGCACAAUGGGGGAAACCCUGAUGCAGCGACGCCGCGUGAAGGAAGAAGGCCUUCGGGUUGUAAACUUCUGUCGUACGGGACGAUAAUGACGGUACCGUACAAGAAAGCCACGGCUAACUACGUGCCAGCAGCCGCGGUAAAACGUAGGUGGCAAGCGUUGUCCGGAAUUACUGGGUGUAAAGGGAGCGCAGGCGGACUAGCAAGUUGGAAGUGAAAUCUAUGGGCUCAACCCAUAAAUUGCUUUCAAAACUGCCGGUCUUGAGUAGUGCAGAGGUAGGCGGAAUUCCCGGUGUAGCGGUGGAAUGCGUAGAUAUCGGGAGGAACACCAGUGGCGAAGGCGGCUUACUGGACGGUAACUGACGUUGAGGCUCGAAAGCGUGGGGAGCAAACAGGAUUAGAUACCC
RNAcentral lists this ribosomal RNA (415 nucleotides) under uncultured bacterium. RNAcentral's name for it is "bacterial SSU rRNA". It matches the Rfam family "Bacterial small subunit ribosomal RNA", at positions 355 to 787 of the family's 1533-position model. The record is from RNAcentral.